UACGGAGGGUGCAAGCGUUAUCCGGAUUCACUGGGUUUAAAGGGUGCGUAGGUGGAUUGGAAAGUCAGUGGUGAAAUCUCCGGGCUUAACUCGGAAACUGCCAUUGAUACUAUCAGUCUUGAAUACCGUGGAGGUCAGCGGAAUAUGUCAUGUAGCGGUGAAAUGCAUAGAUAUGACAUAGAACACCAAUUGCGAAGGCAGCUGGCUACACGAAUAUUGACACUGAGGCACGAAAGCGUGGGGAUCAAACAGG
This 253-nucleotide ribosomal RNA is filed under the name uncultured bacterium. RNAcentral describes it as "partial 16S ribosomal RNA". It matches the Rfam family "Bacterial small subunit ribosomal RNA", at positions 524 to 776 of the family's 1533-position model. The record is from RNAcentral.